UACAGAGGUCCCAAGCGUUGUUCGGAUUCACUGGGCGUAAAGGGUGCGUAGGUGGCCGGGUAAGUCUGAUGUGAAAUCUCCGAGCUUAACUCGGAAAUGGCAUUGGAUACUAUUCGGCUCGAGGGUCGGAGGGGAGACUGGAAUUCUCGGUGUAGCAGUGAAAUGCGUAGAUAUCGAGAGGAACACCAGUGGCGAAGGCGAGUCUCUGGACGACUCCUGACACUGAGGCACGAAAGCUAGGGGAGCAAACAGG
RNAcentral lists this ribosomal RNA (253 nucleotides) under uncultured bacterium. RNAcentral's name for it is "partial 16S ribosomal RNA". It matches the Rfam family "Bacterial small subunit ribosomal RNA", at positions 524 to 776 of the family's 1533-position model. The record is from RNAcentral.